CCUGAUCCAGCCAUGCCGCGUGUGUGAAGAAGGCCUUUUGGUUGUAAAGCACUUUAAGCGGGGAGGAGGCUACUCUAGUUAAUACCUAGGGGAUAGUGGACGUUACUCGCAGAAUAAGCACCGGCUAACUCUGUGCCAGCAGCCGCGGUAAUACAGAGGGUGCGAGCGUUAAUCGGAUUUACUGGGCGUAAAGCGUACGUAGGCGGCUUUUUAAGUCGGAUGUGAAAUCCCUGAGCUUAACUUAGGAAUUGCAUUCGAUACUGGGAAGCUAGAGUAUGGGAGAGGAUGGUAGAAUUCCAGGUGUAGCGGUGAAAUGCGUAGAGAUCUGGAGGAAUACCGAUGGCGAAGGCAGCCAUCUGGCCUAAUACUGACGCUGAGGUACGAAAGCAUGGGGAGCAAACAGGAUUAGAUACCCUGGUAGUCCAUGCCGUAAACGAUGUCUACUAGCCGUUGGGGCCUUUGAGGCUUUAGUGGCGCAGCUAACGCGAUAAGUAGACCGCCUGGGGA
This 507-nucleotide ribosomal RNA is filed under the name bacterium KWD-1-19. RNAcentral describes it as "bacterial SSU rRNA". It matches the Rfam family "Bacterial small subunit ribosomal RNA", at positions 382 to 879 of the family's 1533-position model. The record is from RNAcentral.